CUUUUUCUGAUAUAAGUUCAAUACUUAAAUGUUUAUAUCUAAUUAUGUUUUGGGGUAAGUUAAUCAUGUUUGAAUGUAAUGCUUAAGCUAGUUAAUGAAGUGUAAUGAGAGUAGAUACUCAUUUCCCGAUAUGUAAAGUUCAGGUGGCGCUGCCACAUUGGUUGGUGAAGCAGCGGUUAAUGCACAAUAAUUUUAGUGUCAUCCACCUGGGGUGGGUGAUUAGUUCAGUGCACAUUUUUCGUCUUAGACGUGGGUGAGGAGGUGGAACCCACGUGUUGAUAGGGUUUUAGACCUGGUUUGGUUUUGUAACAAUUAUGUCGUCUUUUGGUCAGUCGAUAUUCUGGUACGUGGUUGCCACGCUCUUUUGACUGUAAGAAAAAAGACCUUCAAGGAACCGGUGGAGCCAAGCCCCACACCAACUCCCCAUAUAUUCGUGGCGCACAUGAGUCAGUUGUUUGAGUUGUGUGCAUUUGUAGAUCAAGUGUCUUUAUCUAUGAGAUAUGUUCCAUGUUAGUGCUCAAAGUGGAUAUAUUUAUGUUUAAUAUAUAUAUUCUUGCUGGUUCCACUAAUGUUAAUGCUAUUACUUUAUUACUUAAAGAUUUUGUCAUUGAAGACACUAUCUGAUUCUAAGUUCAUUGCCUAUUGGUUUAUGCAUUGCAAUCAGUAUGAUGUGUAUGGGAACUUGUUCGGGCUCCUCGCCGCGCAUCCAGUCACUCCAUUGGUGUCACUACAUCACCUUGAUGUUGUUGAGCCAAUUUUCCCCAAUGUGAGCAGGGUUCAAGCCCUUCAGCGCCUUAUGUUGCCUACAAAUUUGGAUUCCGCAGGGAUCAUGCAGCAGUCCAUCUGCUAUGACAAAACCAAGAGUUGGACCAUUUCGGUUUCAUGGGGUUUUGCAGUUCAAGUUUUUAGAGGGAUCUUUUCACCACGGGAGAUAGAAAUGCCUUCGAGAACAUUCUUGAAUUGGUACAAAAGAGCAGAUUACACAGCAUAUGCAUUCAACACUCGCCCUGUUAGCCGAAAUCCAUGCCAAAAACCUUUUGUGUUCUACAUGUCAAGUGUGAGAAUGGAUUCUGAACUGAACAAAACUGUGAGUGAAUACGAGCGACACCAUGUUCCUCAUCCUCUUUGCAGGUGGAAGAUGGCUAAUCCUGAUGAGCUUGAAACAGUGAUCGUACAUAAGAAACCGGACCCUCAUUUGUGGGACAGAGUAAGUUUCAUUAUUUGUUACUUCAUUUGCACUUAUUCUUGAAAAGGUCAAUCUCUAAUCAGUUAUUCUUAAGAUUUUCGUCUGGAGAAUACUAUUCAUACUGACAUGGCUAUGGGGUUUUUUAAUUGGCAGUCGCCGAGGAGAAACUGUUGCAGGGUUAUGGAAUCAAAGGAGCGAAGAAGGAUGGUGAUAGAUGUGGGUGUAUGUAAGGAUGGUGAGGUGAGUGAAAUAUAGUUAUUAAUAGUUGAUUGAUUGUUUUUAUACAGUUUCUUUCAUUUAUGUUUACUAAUUUUAUGUCCCCCAAAUCAUCAUCUGUAUGCAAGAGUAGAGACAGUGUAAAUGGGGAAAACCAAGGUACUUAUAUAGAUUGUGUAAGAAAGUGCAGCUACAUACAAUUUU
RNAcentral lists this long non-coding RNA (1606 nucleotides) under Gossypium raimondii (Peruvian cotton). Its description in RNAcentral is "long non-coding RNA (GRAI_LNC002995)". Lineage: Eukaryota; Viridiplantae; Streptophyta; Magnoliopsida; Malvales; Malvaceae. The record is from RNAcentral.